GCGAGCUGAACCAACAGAUUCACUUCGGUGAUGACGUUGGGAACGCGAGCGGCGGAUGGGUGAGUAACACGUGGGGAACCUGCCCCAUAGUCUGGGAUACCACUUGGAAACAGGUGCUAAUACCGGAUAAGAAAGCAGAUCGCAUGAUCAGCUUAUAAAAGGCGGCGUAAGCUGUCGCUAUGGGAUGGCCCCGCGGUGCAUUAGCUAGUUGGUAGGGUAACGGCCUACCAAGGCAAUGAUGCAUAGCCGAGUUGAGAGACUGAUCGGCCACAUUGGGACUGAGACACGGCCCAAACUCCUACGGGAGGCAGCAGUAGGGAAUCUUCCACAAUGGACGAAAGUCUGAUGGAGCAACGCCGCGUGAGUGAAGAAGGUUUUCGGAUCGUAAAGCUCUGUUGUUGGUGAAGAAGGAUAGAGGUAGUAACUGGCCUUUAUUUGACGGUAAUCAACCAGAAAGUCACGGCUAACUACGUGCCAGCAGCCGCGGUAAUACGUAGGUGGCAAGCGUUGUCCGGAUUUAUUGGGCGUAAAGCGAGCGCAGGCGGAAGAAUAAGUCUGAUGUGAAAGCCCUCGGCUUAACCGAGGAACUGCAUCGGAAACUGUUUUUCUUGAGUGCAGAAGAGGAGAGUGGAACUCCAUGUGUAGCGGUGGAAUGCGUAGAUAUAUGGAAGAACACCAGUGGCGAAGGCGGCUCUCUGGUCUGCAACUGACGCUGAGGCUCGAAAGCAUGGGUAGCGAACAGGAUUAGAUACCCUGGUAGUCCAUGCCGUAAACGAUGAGUGCUAAGUGUUGGGAGGUUUCCGCCUCUCAGUGCUGCAGCUAACGCAUUAAGCACUCCGCCUGGGGAGUACGACCGCAAGGUUGAAACUCAAAGGAAUUGACGGGGCCCGCACAAGCGGUGGAGCAUGUGGUUUAAUUCGAAGCAACGCGAAGAACCUUACCAGUCUUGACAUCUAGUGCAAUCCGUAGA
This 970-nucleotide ribosomal RNA is filed under the name Lactobacillus acidophilus. RNAcentral describes it as "bacterial SSU rRNA". It matches the Rfam family "Bacterial small subunit ribosomal RNA", at positions 57 to 1004 of the family's 1533-position model. The record is from RNAcentral. Lineage: Bacteria; Bacillati; Bacillota; Bacilli; Lactobacillales; Lactobacillaceae.